UAAGGAAUAUUGGACAAUGGUCGCAAGACUGAUCCGGCCAUGCCGCGUGCAGGAAGACGGCCCUAUGGGUUGUAAACUGCUUUUGUACCAGAGAAAACCUAUCUACGUGUAGAUAGCUGAUAGUAUGGUAGGAAUAAGCAUCGGCUAACUUCGUGCCAGCAGCCGCGGUAAGACGAAGGAUGCAAGCGUUAUCCGGAUUCAUUGGGUUUAAAGGGUGCGUAGGCGGGCUUGUAAGUCAGUGGUGAAAUCUCUCAGCUUAACUGAGAAACUGCCAUUGAUACUGCAUGCCUAGAGUAUAGAUGACGUUGGCGGAAUAUGACAUGUAGUGGUGAAAUACUUAGAUAUGUCAUAGAACACCGAUUGCGAAGGCAGCUAACGAAACUAUAACUGACGCUGAGGCACGAAAGUGCGGGGAUCAAACA
RNAcentral lists this ribosomal RNA (422 nucleotides) under uncultured bacterium. Its description in RNAcentral is "bacterial SSU rRNA". It matches the Rfam family "Bacterial small subunit ribosomal RNA", at positions 355 to 774 of the family's 1533-position model. The record is from RNAcentral.